UGGGGAAUAUUGGGGCAAAUGGGGGGAAACCCUGACCCGGCAACGCCGCGUGAGGGAAGAAGGUCUUCGGAUUGUAAACCUCUUUUACCAGGGAAGAAGAAAGUGACGGUACCUGGAGAAAAAGCCACGGCUAACUACGUGCCAGCAGCCGCGGUAAUACGUAGGUGGCAAGCGUUGUCCGGAUUUACUGGGUGUAAAGGGCGUGUAGGCGGGAAGACAGGUCAGAUGUGAAAUGUCGGGGCUCAACCCCGGAACUGCAUUUGAAACCGUUGAUCUUGAGUAUCGGAGAGGCAAUCGGAAUUCCUAGUGUAGCGGUGAAAUGCGUAGAUAUUAGGAGGAACACCAGUGGCGAAGGCGGAUUGCUGGACGACAACUGACGGUGAGGCGCGAAAGCGUGGGAGCAAACAGGAUUAGAUACCCUGGUAGU
RNAcentral lists this ribosomal RNA (427 nucleotides) under uncultured Oscillibacter sp. Its description in RNAcentral is "bacterial SSU rRNA". It matches the Rfam family "Bacterial small subunit ribosomal RNA", at positions 355 to 794 of the family's 1533-position model. Lineage: Bacteria; Bacillati; Bacillota; Clostridia; Eubacteriales; Oscillospiraceae. The record is from RNAcentral.